This 313-nucleotide unclassified non-coding RNA is filed under the name plant metagenome. RNAcentral's name for it is "partial contains small subunit ribosomal RNA, internal transcribed spacer 1, and 5.8S ribosomal RNA". The record is from RNAcentral.
UUUCCGUAGGUGAACCUGCGGAGGGAUCAUUAUUGAAUGAACUUGGUAGUGGUUGUAGCUGGCUCUCCCGAGAGCAUGUGCACACCCGCCAUCUUUAUCUUUCCACCUGUGCACUUCUUGUAGACUUUGGGAUUUGAAAACUUAUCUGGGGCAACUCCGUCGGGAGGAGCUGCUGUAGCAAUACGGCUCUCGUUGACAAGUCUUCAAAGUCUACGUUUUUCAUAUACCCCAUAGUAUGUAACAGAAUGUAUACAAAUUAUCCUUAGUGCUUAUAAAACUUAUACAACUUUCAACAACGGAUCUCUUGGCUCUC